AGGCAUAAACUAAAGUUUUUAUGAAGAUGCUCCGGGCUUACUACAAUCAUGACAGGCAAUGUGAAAACACUUUUGCGUGUAAUUGACUGGCACUGCACAGAAAAAUGUCCAUACCCUUAUUGUAUUCAUGUCUCUGCAUUGUUGUUGUUAACAUUUUCAGUUGGAUGUACUGAUGAGAAAAUACUUGCUUCUGCAUGUUCGAAUUAUGAUAAUGGGUAAUCUAUUUUGUACUGGUCACUUCAUCAAUAGGCGGUUUGACAUCAAAGGAUCCUCUCAUGGCCUCUUACUACUAAACCAGAGUCUGAAAUCGAAAUAUGACGCUCAAAAAUCAAAAAUUUGUAUUCAGAUUGCAAAAGAAUGGUCCAAGAAUUCUCCAGGCAAGUGGACAAAGACUGUGAAGUCACUGAACAAGAGAGACUCAUAGAAUAAAGUCUCUCAGUUGGUCUGAUAAAGAGUUAAAGACAUAAACUGCCUGAACGAGGUUCGACCAUGGGAUUACUAAAGCUAUUGUAAACUUUGAUAAAGACACAUAAUGUAACCUCUGGAAACUUCUGGCAAAAAGGUUUGUAAAAAGUUUUUGAACGAACAUGAAUACAUUGCUCAACAAAAAGGCUACGUAAAUUAAUGUCAG
Non-coding RNA from Camelina sativa (false flax), 631 nucleotides. The record is from RefSeq and is a predicted model, not a curated record. Lineage: Eukaryota; Viridiplantae; Streptophyta; Magnoliopsida; Brassicales; Brassicaceae.